Rhododendron vialii is the source of this 1627-nucleotide RNA transcript. It is a transcript of the gene named E3 ubiquitin-protein ligase RGLG2-like, with no coding region annotated. The record is from RefSeq and is a predicted model, not a curated record. The transcript is spliced from 11 exons. Lineage: Eukaryota; Viridiplantae; Streptophyta; Magnoliopsida; Ericales; Ericaceae.
UCAUCAAGACCCUAUAAAUGGUAUAAGUUCAGCACCGCUCAAGCAUCUUUGUUUUUUGUUGGGUCUUAAAGAUACCGGGCGACGCUAUCAGUCGACCUUAUCAGUCGAUCUCUCUCGCCGAGUGAAUUGGUGUCGUUCGUCUCUUCAGAAGAGAAGUUGGUUUGGUGGAACUUGUGGAAUCUGUGAUAUUGUAUUGAGUUGGAUGGGAGGCCGAAAUUCGAGGGACGGGAGUUUGCCGGAGUCUUCUUCAGCGCGAAAUGAACAACGGACUCUUGGUGGGAAGUAUUCGUGCAUUGCUGAUAACUACAAUUCCUUAGAGGAGGUGACUGAGGCUCUUGUACAUGCAGGCCUUGAAUCUUCCAAUCUCAUUGUUGGUAUAGACUUCACCAAAAGUAAUGAGUGGACAGGCGCAAGGUCAUGCGACGGGAGAAGCUUACAUCACAUUGGAAAUGGUCUAAAUCCAUACGAACAAGCCAUAUCUAUUCUCGGGAAAACCUUAGCUGCUUUCGAUGAGGAUAACUUGAUUCCUUGCUUUGGGUUUGGCGAUGCAUCGACGCAUGAUCAAGACGUAUUCAGUUUUCAUCCAGACGAGAGACCUUCUAAUGGAUUUGAAGAAGUGUUGCAUGAGUACAGGGAAAUAGUUCCUCAUCUAACUUUAGCAGGGCCAACAUCAUUUGCCCCAGUUAUUGACAUGGCCAUGACAAUUGUUGAGCGGACUGGCGGCCAGUACCAUAUUUUACUAAUAAUUGCAGAUGGACAGGUAACUAGAAGCGGUUCUAGUCGACAUGGUCAUUUGAGUCCGCAGGAACAUAAAACUGUUGAAGCUAUUGUAAAAGCAAGCAAGAUGCCCCUGUCCAUUAUAGUAGUUGGGGUUGGAGAUGGACCCUGGGACAUGAUGAAGGAAUUUGACGAUAAUAUUCCCGCCCGAGCCUUUGAUAAUUUCCAAUUUGUCAAUUUCACAGACAUUAUGUCAAAAAAUGUGGCUCAGUCCCGAAAAGAGACAGAAUUCGCUCUUGCAGCUUUGAUGGAAAUCCCUUCUCAAUAUAAAGCAACAAUAGAGCUCAAUAUAUUGGGUGGCCGGAAGGGGAAUGUUUAUGAGAGGGUUCCUCUCCCACCCCCUGUGAAUGAUGCUGCGUCUUUUACCAGCGCAAAAUCUUCAAGCUCAACUAGUUUCCAGAAGAGCUCGGCUUAGUUCUAUGACCACAGCAGCCCUGUUGGUAAAGCUCCAGCUGCAUCAAGUUCCACUUUUGAUAACUAACUUUGUCCCAUUUGCACCAGUAAUUCGAAGGCCAUGGCCUGCGGUUGUGAGCGUAAGCAAGUAAAUUGAUAUCUUCGACUCUUUCGACAAAUAGUGACGAUGCAAGAGUUCUUCUCUUCUCUUGGACAGACAUGUUUCGAUUGCGGACAAGUCCUUCAAUUUUGCCCAAUUUGCUGUACUCCAAUCCAAACAAAAAUAAAGCUCUACCAAGCAUAGCCUUGCCUUUGGGAUUUUUGUUGGCUAAUUGCCUGAAAAUUAUAUCAAGGUGGUUGGAUUUAUGAGAUCUGUUUGUAUGGUGCCUUUCUUGGAUAUGAAUUCUUGGACCUACAAAAUGAAUAAAAUACAUGAGUAAUGACCUCCAAUAAUUUC